RNAcentral lists this ribosomal RNA (373 nucleotides) under uncultured organism. Its description in RNAcentral is "partial 16S ribosomal RNA". It matches the Rfam family "Bacterial small subunit ribosomal RNA", at positions 527 to 896 of the family's 1533-position model. The record is from RNAcentral.
GUAGGUGGCAAGCGUUGUCCGGAAUUAUUGGGCGUAAAGCGCGCGCAGGCGGUUCUUUAAGUCUGAUGUGAAAGCCCACGGCUCAACCGUGGAGGGUCAUUGGAAACUGGAGGACUUGAGUACAGAAGAGGAAAGCGGAAUUCCACGUAUAGCGGUGAAAUGCGUAGAGAUGUGGAGGAACACCAGUGGCGAAGGCGGCUUUCUGGUCUGUAACUGACGCUGAGGCGCGAAAGCGUGGGGAGCAAACAGGGAUUAGAUACCCUGGUAGUCCACGCCGUAAACGAUGAGUGCUAAGUGUUAGGGGGGUUUCCGCCCCCUUAGUGCUGCAGCUAACGCAUUAAGCACUCCGCCUGGGGAUACGGCCGCAAGGCUG